CUACAUCAGGGAAACUUCAACUCCUUACAAGACAAAUCAUGUAUUAGUUGUGUUUAAUGUAGAGGAGGAAGCGGUAGAGAGAGAUGAUACCAUGCCACAUGCACAAAACUUUUAACUUAAUUGACUUCCAUUUCUUGUUUGUUUCUUUUUUUUAACAUAAAUUCAGGUUAGGUUAUACCUAUUCUCUUCGAUAUAUGCCAACAUAGACAUGUGCCCCAUAAAAAACCAAAGUUCCUUUAACAUAUGGCUUUAUCUUUCUUAUGGAAUUGAAAUUUAUGAAUUUUUAUAGUGUGUUUCUCUUUAGGUAACUUUUUGCAUCAUAAUAGAAUAUAUUUUAUGCUUUAAUUAUUUCCCUCUCAAAUCUUGGAUGAUUCUAGCAAUGUCCAAGGAUACAAUUGGCGGAGUUUCUUUUGUUUUAAAAAACAUGAUAAACAAGUACAGAAUGUGCGCAAGCAGGAAGAAACUGACCUAAAGGUAAAUUUUCAUUAUGUGAAAUUUGUCAUAAAGAUUUAUGUGCUUAUCUCCAUUUUAAUUACUAGGGAGUAAGCUUUUAAAAUAAUCUCUAAGACCCUUUCGCAGUUUUCACUGUCAAGGGUUAUAUUAACAUAGGCCAAUCUAAGCUUUUAAAUAUUGUCUCUCUUGAUCUCUAGCUAUUUGAUGACGCCUCUGCUUCUUUUAUACCCCAAAGCUGCUGGUGUCUGACUGGACAGAAACUCAAGUUGGCCAUUGGUUAAAGAGUAUUGGAAUGAAAAAAUAUAUCCUGAAAUUUGAUUAUAAAAGAGUAAACAGUCAAGAACUUCUUGAAUUAGACAAUGAUGCAUUAAAAAUCGAAUAUUUUCUUGUUCAAGAAGCUUGUUGAUAGCUUUUAAUCUUCUCUGUGAAAAAAUGAUGCAAAGAAGAGUCCAGAACCUCGAUUUAUUUUCUUGUCAAAUAGACAAAGGGGACAACGAACUGGGGCUUUGUACUUGUAUCUUCUUUGAUCCAGCAGAUGAGGAUGGAAAGGAACCAGGGGUUUUUAUAACUGAAAUUAUUGAAGGAGGUGCAGUUCACAAACUUGGAUGUAUCCGUGUAUUUGACCAGAUUAUUAAAAUAGGUGACAUCAAUCUAAUUGGAUUGGAUGAAGCAGAAAUCAUCUCUACUUUUAAAAAAAUGGACGAUUCUCCUUUCCAGAUUGAAAUUGGCCGCGAACCACCUGAAGUGAAGUCAGAACUUAUCGAACUCCUCGAGUUGUCAGAGGAAAGGAAGAAAUAUUUUAUGGAUUCGCUCAUAGUACAGGAAAAAAUUAGAGAUAUCACUAUUGUGAGAGGACAAGCAAGUAUUUGUAGAAGUCCAAGAGUACCAUGGUACUGGAUGGCCAGUGACCUGAAAUUUGUUAUUGGGGCACUGAAAAUAUUAAUAGAAGAAGAUCAGGGAUGUAGAAAAAACAUCCAAGCUAUCUUUGAGCAGGCUAACAUUUUUCAAGACAAAUAUAAAGACAUGAACACAUACAAAGUGAAUAUGGAACAGAAACCUGAUGAAUCAAAUAAAGAAGGCACAUUUUUACCAUUGGCCCCAGAAGAAGAAUUAUUACUAGAACAAUUUAAAAUAAAACCUAAAGAGAUAAAAAAUGAAGAUUUAUCACCAGGGCAAUUAUUAGCCCAAGGGGAUUUCAAUUCAGAGACUCCAAUAAAAAAAGAAAAAGAAGAAGAUGAAAUAGUAGUGGAGGAAGAGAUUAUUAGCACUGGAAAACCUACAGAGGGAAAGGCUAAAAAGAGAUUUUCCUGGUUCCACAAUAUCAAAGAAUGCAAGCUGUGGAACUUCUUUCAUUUUAAAAAACAUGACAAACAAGUAAAGAAUGUGCACAAGUGGGAAGAAAUUGAUCAAGAGGUAUUGGAUGAUUACUGUCCUUAUUCUACUGAAGCCCCUAAAACAUUGCCAACAGAGUGGACAAAUAUUGAAGUUGGUAAUUGGUUAUGGAGCAUUGGAAUGGAGGAGUAUGUUGUAAAAUUUUAUUGUAAAGGAAUAAAUGGUGAAAAACUCCUUACACUGGACAAUCGCUCUCUAAAAGAAAUCGAAGUCAACAGGAAGAAAGACCGCCGGAAAAUACUUAAGGCUAUUAAGAAAGUUAGAGAUUUUUGGGAAAAAAAUCAUCAUUUCGUCUUACUAUAG
This 2148-nucleotide long non-coding RNA is filed under the name Monodelphis domestica (gray short-tailed opossum). RNAcentral's name for it is "lncRNA (ENSMODG00000039601.1)". Lineage: Eukaryota; Metazoa; Chordata; Mammalia; Didelphimorphia; Didelphidae. The record is from RNAcentral.